This 1850-nucleotide long non-coding RNA is filed under the name Homo sapiens (human). Its description in RNAcentral is "long independently transcribed non-coding RNA 1547 (LINC01547)". The record is from RNAcentral. Lineage: Eukaryota; Metazoa; Chordata; Mammalia; Primates; Hominidae.
GUCGCGGGUGUAGGGUGGCGGCGCUCCGCCUUUCACCGACGCACCUGGGAGAAACAGACCGGAGGACGCGGGUGGCGCGGAGCACGAGAAACAACGAGUUUCUGUCUAGAUCGUGGGGGACCCAAGCCCGGGGUUGCGUCCAAGGUCGGGGAUGGAGAGGACGCGACCCCCGCGGCAGUCGAGAUGGCCUUUUUAAAAUUCUAUAUUUGAGAAGGAGUCUCGCGCUGUCGCCCAGGCUGGAGCGCAAUGGCGCGAAAUCGGCUCAUUGCAGCCUCGACGUCCAGGACUCGAGCGAUCCUCCCGCCUCAGCCUCUCGAGAAGGAGUGGCCAGAAGGCUCCUCUCCAGGCCUCACAGAGGGAAACACUGGUCUAGUGAGAGACCUGCGUCCUGCCCAUCAGGACCGAAGCGGCACGCGUGAGGAUCCUGCAGGCCAAGAGACAACAGCGAUUACAAACCCCAGUCCCAGCCUUGCAGCUGACCUUGCAGGUGACGCCCUGCCUGGGUGUCUCGGUGCAGCUGCACAUCAGGGGCCUCUGCUGGACAGAAGCUCUGAGUCCACACUUGGCCCCCAGGCGCUGGAGCUGGAGCACUGCCACGAGAGGGGAUGCUGCCGUGGCUGCGCCAGCUUCAGCCCUUUCCCUGCACCGAGAUGUCCCAGUGAGCGGCUGGGUGCUCACAGUUCCCGUUGGGCCAUCAGAGGAAGAUCAAAGAUCAACCCUCCCCCAUGGGCUCCUGCCUGCCUGCCAGGUUUUCCUGUCUCCUGGAGGACAAGGAUGAGGGCUUUCCACUUGAGUCUCCCUGGUGGAGCCCAGCUCCUGACAUACCUGGUAAAAGUUCUCAAGAGAAGAACAUGGAGGAGGAAUGUGGAUAACAACCCUGGCUGCCUGUGUGUUCCAAGCUAGGAAGAUGUAAUGUCCCCACAAACGGGGUAAAUGGCUUGCCUGCGUCACAGCUGUCUCAAGCCCAGGCCCUGGGUGCCAGCCCAAGCCCAAGGACUAGGUCCAGAGCCACACAGCGCCAGGCCACAUCCGCCUCACCUGGGACCUUUUGUGGGGUACAGUCUCCGGCCCCACCCAGACCUGCUGAAGGAGAGACCCCAUGGCAAGGACUCAGCCACCUGCAGUUUCAUAAGCCCCCAGUGGGUUCCUAGGCAUGAAGACCACCGGUUAGAGGCUGAACUGGCAGGAACCUGUCUCCAGCCCCUUCUCACCCCAGCCGGGCCCUGCCUCAGAGGCAGCACCCAGGACGUGGCCAUGACCCGUGGACUCCACUCAAUCCCUCUUCUCCAGGAGCCAUGCAAAGUGUCAGCCAGCCAGGCCCCUGGAAGGCAGUCAUCACCUCUUAAGGCAUUGCGGGUGUCGGUCCUGCAACUGCCAGGUGCAGCACACGACCCAUGUCCGGUGUUCGAUAGCAGGGAGCCAUGACCUGGCAACGAUUCCACGCUCAAAGGGGCACCCGGGGGGCCCUGGGUCGGGGCGGAUCAGCUUUCCCUGGGCACAUCUGCCUCAUUCCAGAUCUCCAGGGCUCAUGUCUGUGACAGGGAGGGAAGGCUCUGCCCUGGCCUUCCGUCAGCUCUGCCAGUGCAGGCUGGGCAGCCUGGGCUUUAGAGCUGGCUUCUGCCCACACUUUCUCCGUGAAAGGAAAACAACUAUGAGUCUGCCAAACGCAUCUCAGAUGCGUUUUAAAAAAUUCUGGUCCCCGCUCUCUGUCCCAUCAUCUGCCUCGGGGACUUCCUCUCUCCGUGGUUCUCACCCCAUACUCUGUCACUGCCACAUUUUCACCUGGGCCUGGCCUUUGUCUCCACCUGAAACUCCUGAAAAUCUUGAAAUGGAAAAAAAAAAAAAAAAAA